GGCCACCUCGAGUAGUGGCGGACGGGUGAGUAACACGUGGGAACGUGCCUUUAGGUUCGGAAUAACUCAGGGAAACUUGUGCUAAUACCGAAUGUGCCCUUCGGGGGAAAGAUUUAUCGCCUUUAGAGCGGCCCGCGUCUGAUUAGCUAGUUGGUGAGGUAGUGGCUCACCAAGGCGACGAUCAGUAGCUGGUCUGAGAGGAUGAUCAGCCACAUUGGGACUGAGACACGGCCCAAACUCCUACGGGAGGCAGCAGUGGGGAAUCUUGCGCAAUGGGCGAAAGCCUGACGCAGCCAUGCCGCGUGAAUGAUGAAGGUCUUAGGAUUGUAAAAUUCUUUCACCGGGGACGAUAAUGACGGUACCCGGAGAAGAAGCCCCGGCUAACUUCGUGCCAGCAGCCGCGGUAAUACGAAGGGGGCUAGCGUUGCUCGGAAUUACUGGGCGUAAAGGGAGCGUAGGCGGACAUUUAAGUCAGGGGUGAAAUCCCGGGGCUCAACCUCGGAAUUGCCUUUGAUACUGGGUGUCUUGAGUAUGAGAGAGGUGUGUGGAACUCCGAGUGUAGAGGUGAAAUUCGUAGAUAUUCGGAAGAACACCAGUGGCGAAGGCGACACACUGGCUCAUUACUGACGCUGAGGCUCGAGAGCGUGGGG
Molecule: ribosomal RNA, 650 nt
Filed under: uncultured bacterium
Lineage: Bacteria
Description: bacterial SSU rRNA
Rfam family: Bacterial small subunit ribosomal RNA
Source: RNAcentral